RNAcentral lists this ribosomal RNA (1329 nucleotides) under Triticum aestivum (bread wheat). Its description in RNAcentral is "partial small subunit ribosomal RNA". Lineage: Eukaryota; Viridiplantae; Streptophyta; Magnoliopsida; Poales; Poaceae. The record is from RNAcentral.
AUGUACCUGAACUGCUGUGUUGGUGGUCCUGCGCGCAUGGUGUUUGAAGGAAUGACAGCGAGGAAUGUGGUCUGCGAUAGCCAGGUUGGAUUCUGGAAUCCCCUGAUACAGAGGCCUAUGUAUCGGUUUGUGUUGAGGGCCUUCUUGUUCUGCCCCAUUGGCGCGGUGAUAAAAAAUGCAACGCAAGUCUUCUCUGUGUGGUUGGCAUAUAUGGAGCCAUGGAAGGUUACACAAGAGGAGCUGGAUGAGUAUGAUGUGUCCCUGAUGCAGGGGACGGGCACACAGGGGACGCAGAAAGGGGAGCUGCUAUAUACUCCGUCGUGGAAGAAUUAUGUGCUGUCCAAUUACCUAUUCUAUAGCUCGAUGGUGGUGCAUUUCCUGGGUUUUGCACACAAGUUUAUCCAUUCUGAUGUCUCCUCAGUGCUCGUGAUGAUUUUAAAGGUAUUGGAAGUCUUGUCUUCCUCAACAGAACUGGUGGAUCUUCUAUAUAAAGUGGAUAUUGCCUAUCAUUCUAGACCGGUUACUUCACCGUCAACUUCUUCAGAAUCAGAUGAUGUAAUGAAGUAUGUUCCGUCAAUCCGUGAGCAGCUAAAGGAUUGGGAGGAUGGUCUGACAGAAACUGAUGCAGAUGGAUCUUUCUUGCAUGAGCAUUGGAACUCUGAUCUAAGACUUUUCAAUAGUGGUGAGGACGGGGCUUAUCAUCUGCUUCAGCUCCUUCUGAUCCGAGCAGAGCUGGAGAUACAACGCCUGCCAGGUGACACAGUACAAGCUCUCCAGUCGUUGGAUUUGAUAAAAUCCCGGAUGAAAAAGAUCUUCCAGGGCCGCAUUGAAGGCAUCCACCACCAGAAUACUUCAGCGCAGGAGUUGCAGGAUCAACAUCCAGGGCGCGGCGAGAUAUUUACACCUAAGCAUCCCCAUUCGGGGAGGAGCAAGUUUGGCGAAGUCAGAUACAGAGGCGACUGGAUGAAGAGGCCCAUCUCGGAGACUGAAGUGGCCUGGCUCGCGAGGAUCCUUAUCCACAUAUCUGACCGACUGAACGACGCCCUUCGACUUGGCUGUGACGGUGCUGCUGAUGAUAGCGUUGCUAACCCGACGUACAUUAAGUUUGACAGGAACGAUCUGACGACAAUAGGGGGACCGAAGGACGCCGCUAGGAUGGCUCUCGUGGCUAUCUGUUCGCUGCUGGCGGUUGUGGGACAGGCGGUGCUGAGGUUCAUGAGGGCGCACAGGGUAAAGAUCAAUCUUAGAGUUUUUGCUUCGAAGAAGCUGCUGACUGGCCUCGUGUUGCUGUACGCGAUGGUGGCGGGGACAAAGAGAGCUUUUUAUUGA